UGAGAAGUUGAGAACUAUAUAUAUAUACACACAUAUGGUAAAUAAAAGGAAAAAAAUGCUCAAACACCUCCUGAUCUUUCAAGUAGCGGUCAUAACACCCCUUAAUUUUAAUUUUGGCCAAUAUACUACUUGAACUCACGUGAGAGGCACCUCGGUAUAACCUGAACCGUUGAGAGAGAGGGAGAAAGUUUGGGCUCAGUUUAGAGAGAGAGGGGAGAUGAUCCAACCAAAAGUCCAUAAACACCUCGGUAUCCUCUCUCCGGUGCCGGAGUUCCGCCGUCGUCUCACUGGCUGUUCACCGCUGGAUCAUAAUGUAUGCUAUUGGAGAAGAACAAAGUCAAAAUGCACAUAUCAAAAAAAAAAAAAAAAAAAAAAAAAAAAAAAAACAAAGUUGAAAUGCACAUAGAGGAUCCCCAAGUGGCUUGGAGGACAUAUCAAUAUAUUUUACCAAAAUGUCAAACUCAUUUGUCAUGUGGAGAAAAUCAAUCAAGAUGGAGGAGAUGUUUUCAGUGGCUUUUGUAAAUCUGGACUCUAGUACCAGCUUACUAUAUAUACAUUGCAGUGACUAUCUAUGUAGGAGCCCUAAAAACAGGGCUUGUGAUGUAAUAUACCUACUAGCUGUGGAAUGAUUCAAGCAUACGAUGAUUGAGAAGAAACUCAAACACAUUCUCCAAUCUUAUUUUAUUUCAUUUUCUUGUUUGAUUA
Quercus robur (English oak) is the source of this 705-nucleotide long non-coding RNA. RefSeq lists it as uncharacterized. The transcript has 2 exons. The record is from RefSeq and is a predicted model, not a curated record. Lineage: Eukaryota; Viridiplantae; Streptophyta; Magnoliopsida; Fagales; Fagaceae.